CAGGGGGCCCUUAUCGAAGCUGCAACUGCUUCCUCAUAGCUGCUGUGGUCAAAAAGGAGCCCAGAGUAAGUUUUUUCCUUGACGGUCGCUGUUCUGUUUGUUGUAACUGAUCUGCAACAUUUUCGGGAAAAAACAAUU
This is a small nucleolar RNA of Dipodomys ordii (Ord's kangaroo rat), 138 nucleotides long. NCBI's taxonomy places the organism in Eukaryota, Metazoa, Chordata, Mammalia, Rodentia, Heteromyidae. The record is from Ensembl.